This 77-nucleotide transfer RNA is filed under the name Shewanella piezotolerans WP3. RNAcentral describes it as "tRNA-Arg". Lineage: Bacteria; Pseudomonadati; Pseudomonadota; Gammaproteobacteria; Alteromonadales; Shewanellaceae. The record is from RNAcentral.
AAAUGGCUUGCGCGUAGAAGCCAAGAUCAAAUUAAUCGAGUUAAAGGUGUCAACAGUCAAGGAGAGGCGAUUUUAUU